RNAcentral lists this ribosomal RNA (837 nucleotides) under uncultured bacterium. RNAcentral's name for it is "bacterial SSU rRNA". It matches the Rfam family "Bacterial small subunit ribosomal RNA", at positions 8 to 896 of the family's 1533-position model. The record is from RNAcentral.
AGAGUUUGAUCCUGGCUCAGGAUGAACGCUAGCGGUGCGCCUAACACAUGCAAGUCGAGCGAUAUAGCGGCGAAUGGGUGAGUAACACGUUGGAACCUGCCCCGGACUCAGGGAUAGCCCGCCGAAAGGCGGAUUAAUACCGGAUAGUCCCGCAAGGGUAAAGCUUUUGCGGUCCGGGAGGGGCCUGCGCAGUAUCAGCUUGUUGGUAGUGUAAUAGACUACCAAGGCUACGACGCUUAACUGGUCUGAGAGGAUGAUCAGUCACAAUGGAACUGAGACACGGUCCAUACUCCUACGGGAGGCAGCAGUGAGGAAUCUUCCGCAAUGGGCGAAAGCCUGACGGAGCGACACCGCGUGAAGGAUGAAGGCCUUUUGGUUGUAAACUUCUUUUCUGGGGGAAUAAAUGAUGAAGGUACCCCAGGAAUAAGCACCGGCUAACUACGUGCCAGCAGCCGCGGUAAUACGUAGGGUGCAAGCGUUAUCCGGAAUUAUUGGGCGUAAAGCGUGCGUAGGCUGUCUGAUAAGUUUGUAGUUAAAUCUGGUCGCUCAACGAUCAACUCGCUACAAAAACUGCCAGACUAGAGAAUGACAGAGGCAACUAGAAUUCUGCAUGUAGGGGUAAAAUCCGUUGAUAUGCAGAGGAAUACCAAAAGCGAAGGCAGGUUGCUGGGUCAUUUCUGACGCUGUUGCACGAAAGCGUGGGUAGCGAACAGGAUUAGAUACCCUGGUAGUCCACGCCGUAAACGAUGGAUACUCGGUUUGAGAGGGACUCGACCCCCUUUUGAGCCCAAGCUAACGCGUUAAGUAUCCCGCCUGGGGAGUACGGUCGCAAGAUUA